Molecule: ribosomal RNA, 774 nt
Filed under: uncultured Neocallimastigales
Lineage: Eukaryota; Fungi; Neocallimastigomycota; Neocallimastigomycetes; Neocallimastigales
Description: partial large subunit ribosomal RNA
Rfam family: Eukaryotic large subunit ribosomal RNA
Source: RNAcentral
UACUAGAGUAGCACUCGCAUAUCAAUAAGCGGAGGAAAAGAAACUAACAAGGAUUCCCCUAGUAACGGCGAGUGAAGCGGGAAGAGCUCAAAUUUGAAAUCUUAAAGGGUUUCCCUUUACGAAUUGUAGUUUAAAGAAGUGUUUUCUGUUGAGGUUUUGGUAAAAGUUCUUUGGAAUAGGACAUCAUAGAGGGUGAGAAUCCCGUAUUUGACCUUUACUUUCAACUUUGUGAUACACUUUCAAAGAGUCGGAUUGUUUGGGAAUGCAGUCCAAAAUGGGUGGUAAAUUUCAUCUAAAGCUAAAUAUUGGCGAGAGACCGAUAGCGAACAAGUACCGUGAGGGAAAGAUGAAAAGAACUUUGAAAAGAGAGUUAAACAGUACGUGAAAUUGUCAAAAGGGAAGCGUUUGACACCAGUGUUGUUUUUCUGAAAAUCAAUUAAAGAACUGUUUAUGCUAAGUUGUUUAGACUUUAUCAGCUAACUGUUUAGUUUUGAGCUUUUCUUUAAUGCACUUUUCAGUUAACAAGUCAACAUCAAUUUCUUUUGCUGUAAAAAAGCUUGAGGAAGGAGGCUUGAGAUUCGUCUUAAGUGUUUAUAGCCUCUUGCCUAUGCAGUCGGAGAGAUUGAGGUCUGCAGCGUAGAUCCUUCGGGGCUAAAUGCAUUUGUGCUAAGUUAUAGCAUUUUAUAGACAACUUGUUGACUAUGAUUUGUCUUGUAGCUUACUCGCUUAUGUUAUUUUACCUACGCUUAGGAUGUUGAGCGCAUGUCUCUCUCU